UUGUGGCUAUAUCUCGUUGAAUCACCGGUUCUCGUAAGAUCACCGAAAUUAAGCAACGUUGAGCCUGGCCAAUAACUAGCGAGGUGGCCACUUAGGAAACCCAGGUGCUGUAAG
Molecule: non-coding RNA, 114 nt
Organism: Acanthosepion pharaonis
Lineage: Eukaryota; Metazoa; Mollusca; Cephalopoda; Sepiida; Sepiidae
Source: the annotation of a GenBank genome assembly